CAGCAGCCGCGGUAAUCCGUAGGGGGCGAGCGUUACCCGGAUUCACUGGGCGUAAAGGGGGUGUAGGCGGCUCGGUAAGUCGGGUGUGAAAUCCCACGGCUCAACCGUGGAAUUGCGCCCGAAACUGCCGAGCUUGGGGCCGGUAGAGGGAGACGGAACUGCCGGUGUAGGGGUGAAAUCCGUAGAUAUCGGCAGGAACGCCGGUGGGGAAGCCGGUCUCCUGGGCCGCGCCCGACGCUGAGGCCCGAAAGCUAGGGGAGCAAACCGGAUUAGAUACCCGGGUAGUCCUAGCCGUAAACGAUGCCCACUAGGUGUGGGGGAGUAUUUCCUCCGUGCUGUAGCUAACGCGUUAAGUGGGCCGCCUGGGGAGUACGCCCGCAAGGGUGAAACUUAAAGGAAUUGGCGGG
Molecule: ribosomal RNA, 407 nt
Filed under: uncultured microorganism
Description: bacterial SSU rRNA
Rfam family: Bacterial small subunit ribosomal RNA
Source: RNAcentral